This 66-nucleotide transfer RNA is filed under the name Septifer bilocularis. RNAcentral describes it as "tRNA-Arg". The record is from RNAcentral. Lineage: Eukaryota; Metazoa; Mollusca; Bivalvia; Mytilida; Mytilidae.
AUUUUCUUAGUUUUUAUAACGUUCUGAUUUCGGCUCGGAAAAAAUGAUUAAAUUCAUAAGAAUAUU